GACGAUUGAAAGCUUGCUUUCGAAAGUCGAGUGGCAAACGGGUGAGUAACGCGUAGACAACCUGCCUUUGAGAUGGGGACAACAGUUCGAAAGGACUGCUAAUACCGAAUGUUGUAUAUUUUCCACAUGGAAGAUGUAUUAAAGAUGGCCUCUAUUUAUAAGCUAUCGCUCAAAGAUGGGUCUGCGUCUGAUUAGCUAGUUGGUGGGGUAACGGCCUACCAAGGCGACGAUCAGUAGCCGGUCUGAGAGGAUGAACGGCCACAUUGGGACUGAGACACGGCCCAGACUCCUACGGGAGGCAGCAGUGGGGAAUCUUCCACAAUGGACGAAAGUCUGAUGGAGCAACGCCGCGUGAGUGAAGAAGGGUUUCGGCUCGUAAAGCUCUGUUGUCGGGGACGAAUGUGCAGUAUUUGAAUAAAGUACUGCAAUGACGGUACCUGACGAGGAAGCCACGGCUAACUACGUGCCAGCAGCCGCGGUAAUACGUAGGUGGCAAGCGUUGUCCGGAAUUAUUGGGCGUAAAGGGAGCGCAGGCGGGAAGGUAAGUCGGUCUUAAAAGUGCGGGGCUCAACCCCGUGAUGGGAUCGAAACUAUCUUUCUUGAGUGCAGGAAAGGAAAGUGGAAUUCCUAGUGUAGCGGUGAAAUGCGUAGAUU
This 654-nucleotide ribosomal RNA is filed under the name uncultured bacterium. RNAcentral describes it as "bacterial SSU rRNA". It matches the Rfam family "Bacterial small subunit ribosomal RNA", at positions 68 to 696 of the family's 1533-position model. The record is from RNAcentral.